RNAcentral lists this ribosomal RNA (1074 nucleotides) under uncultured marine bacterium. RNAcentral's name for it is "bacterial SSU rRNA". It matches the Rfam family "Bacterial small subunit ribosomal RNA", at positions 76 to 1147 of the family's 1533-position model. The record is from RNAcentral.
AUCUUCGGAUAUGAGUAGAGCGGCGGACGGGUGAGUAACGCGUAGGAAUCUACCUAGUAGAAGGGGAUAGCCCGAGGAAACUCGGAUUAAUACCGUAUACCUCCUUCGGGAGAAAGAAGGCCUCUCUUUGAAGCUUUCGCUAUUAGAUGAGCCUGCGUAAGAUUAGCUUGUUGGUGAGGUAAAGGCUCACCAAAGCGACGAUCUUUAGCGGGUCUGAGAGGACGAUCCGCCACAUUGGGACUGAGACACGGCCCAGACUCCUACGGGAGGCAGCAGUGGGGAAUAUUGGACAAUGGGCGCAAGCCUGAUCCAGCCAUACCGCCUGUGUGAAGAAGGCCCUAGGGUUGUAAAGCACUUUAAGUUGGGAAGAAAAGUUAUUGGUUAAUACCCAAUGACCGUGACAUUACCUUCAGAAUAAGGACCGGCUAAUUCCGUGCCAGCAGCCGCGGUAAUACGGAAGGUCCAAGCGUUAAUCGGAAUUACUGGGCGUAAAGCGCGCGUAGGUGGUUUAUUAAGUUGGAUAUGAAAUCCCCGGGCUCAACCUGGGAACUGCAUCCAAAACUAAUUCACUAGAGUACGAUAGAGGGAGGUAGAAUUCACAGUGUAGCGGUGGAAUGCGUAGAUAUUGUGAAGAAUACCAAUGGCGAAGGCAGCCUCCUGGAUCUGUACUGACACUGAGGUGCGAAAGCGUGGGUAGCGAACAGGAUUAGAUACCCUGGUAGUCCACGCCGUAAACGAUGUCAACUAGCUGUUGGAAAACUAUGUUUUUCAGUGGCGCAGCUAACGUAGUAAGUUGACCGCCUGGGGAGUACGGCCGCAAGGCUAAAACUCAAAUGAAUUGACGGGGACCCGCACAAGCGGUGGAGCAUGUGGUUUAAUUCGAUGCAACGCGAAAAACCUUACCUAUACUUGACAUACUUGGAAUACUUUGUAAUGAAGUAGUGCCUUCGGGAACCAAGAUACAGGUGCUGCAUGGCUGUCGUCAGCUCGUGUCGUGAGAUGUUCCGUUAAGUCGGAUAACGAGCGCAACCCUUACCCUUAUUUGCCAGCGAUUCGGUCGGGAACUAUAAGGGG